UCUAGAAACAUCCAUCAUAUUAUCCAACGGAACAAAGGAGUACCUCUUUACGUUCUCCACCUUAAUACUCACUCUCUAGAAACAUCCAUCUUAUAUUAUCCAAUGGAACAAUGGAGUGCCUCUUUACGUUCUCUUCCUUUACUUUUGAGAACCUUUUAGCACUAUUCAUCUUCUUAUUGGAACGAUUUAAUAACUCUGGAAGCGAGGUUUGAUCUCUGUGUUUGAAGCUGCUUUUUAUCAGCUGGGUGGUUCCAUUUCAGGUAUGCUUUUCUUUCAGUUCUCUUUAGAGUUUCCAAUUGCACAACUUAGUGUUAUUUGCUUUUGGUGUUAUUUUUUAUUUCAUCGGAUUUUGAAGCUCAAAUUUGCUCGAAGAAAGCAGGAAAAAAACAAGAAAUAAUCUGACUGUUAGAGUUUUCAGCAGAUGUUUGCUGCAAACAAAAACCUUGCACGAUUGAUACUUUCGGUUGCUUCCCUGCAAUAUUUUCUUUGUGCACAUAAUAGGGUGGGAGUUUGUGGUGGUGUUAGAAUUUAUGGUCGUAACUCUAUGCCAAAUAAUGACUUCAAAUCAAAACUUAAAAAGAGUUCUAAGUGCAGAAAGUUUCCUACUUCGAUUAUUCCACUUUACUUCUUCUUCGACUGAAUUGUCUGUCCUUUAUGUUUGCUCUGAUUGUUGAUUGACCUGUCGCCCUUAAAUCGAUUAAACCAGUAAGCUCUCAUAUGUGAGCUUCUUGAGUAUUUCUUUGUCCUUCUUCAGUAGUAAAAUACAUUGAGUUUGUUGUUUCUUUUGAGGUAUAGCUUAAGUGGUACUCUAUUAGUUUGAAACCUCAGUAGCUUUUGCCGGAGUUUGAAACAAUUAGCCAAAAUGGUAAAAGAGAAACUAAAUGAUCAGGGAGCCAUCCCCCAGCCUUCAAGCGGGAUCCAAACCAUUUUGCAGAGACAUCCUAUUAGCUGCCAGGAGACAUGAGCAAUUUAUGCAAGGAAAGCACAGAGCUGGACUCAUGGAACUUACAUCAAGUUUACCAAGUUUCCCAAGCAAAGGCUGGAAAUAGCUUAUGUUACGAUGACUGCCAAAUCUGAGACUGUUUUUCCCUUAAUUUUAGCUAGGUACCGAAGCAAGUUAGAUGUUGGAACACUUCUCUUUUGCUUUAGCCAAAUUGAGAAAUAAAGAAUAUGGAGUUUUCCAGUGUAUGUGGACACACAAAUUCUGGGAAGAAUGUAGGCUACACCAAAGCAGGCAUGUUUUCACAAAUAAGGAAGCAUUUUGAAAUCCUUCUAGCUGGCCAUCUUAGUUCUAGAAGAAUUGAAGAUUGAGCAUAAGUGAUGCACAAUAAUGGCAUAGUGGUUUACUGCUUAAUUCAGUUGUGUUUUGUGCUUGAUGUGUUGUCGAGAAGCACGAGGUGUGCUCUCAGCUCUGCAAGCAAUCAAGAUAUACUACGAUCCAAAUAUUUCUUUUUCAUGCUAUCCACUCAAAGGCUGCUCUAAGGAGAGGAGGAGCUUAUAUCGUCGUCUUAUGGUCUUAUCUAUGAGAACAUAGUCAAUGGCAUCAAUCUCUUUACCUCUGUAUUAAGGAAGUUGUUCACAUCCAUAGCAAACUGGGCUGGAUAAGCUCUAGCUACAUCUUCCUGAUGAAAUGGAACAGAAUAUCCUUCCUUUGUUCCAUGCUGGAGAGUCCCUUGUUUUGUACUUGUUUUGGCACUUGGAAUAGCCAGCUGGGCGCAUAGAGGCAUGAAUGAUCUCGCUGGAGGAUUCAUGAAGUAGCUGGCCGCAAAAGGAAAGCUUUACGGAAGGUAGAGAAGCACAAAGGAUUCUGAGGCCAUUUAUGGCAAGUUCAUUUAUACAGAAUAUACUUUGUUCCUCAAAUGAGUUUAGUAUGAAAUGUUUAUAUAAUCAGCUUUAUGGUAUUACUUCAAUUUUAGUAAUCAUGCUAAAAAUAUGUAUCAUCUUACGAUGUUGAAUAUUUCUUUCGGAAAUCUGUAGUUGUGCAAAUAACGGGAGCAACGUAUAGGGCACACGCUUGUGUUUGAUGGUGUAUGUGAAGAGCAAAAUUGUUGGAUUGAAAUAGUCUACUUUAGGUCAUGAAAGAGUUUCAUCUUGCAAGAGCAUACUUAUGUUCAACUUCAAGAAUUCAGAUUCCAGCCCAAUCUCAUACAGAUGUUGGAGCACCUACAAUCUUUCUACUUGUCUUUCUAAGCAAGCUACCUAUGUAACUUUGUUCCACAAACUAUGUCUUUGUUUUGCCUUUUCUGCAAACUACUCAUGUAACUUUGUUCCACAAAUGAAUGUAAUAUAUUAUGAAGCAUGUCAUGUUAAUAUUUAGUUUAAUCAUCUCUCCUUUA
This is a long non-coding RNA of Lycium ferocissimum, 2336 nucleotides long. RefSeq lists it as uncharacterized. The record is from RefSeq and is a predicted model, not a curated record. The transcript has 10 exons. NCBI's taxonomy places the organism in Eukaryota, Viridiplantae, Streptophyta, Magnoliopsida, Solanales, Solanaceae.